UGUCUUCUCAAGUUGAUCCUGAUAGUAACUACAAUUCAGGUUGAAGCGGUUGCAGAAACGUCUGGAAUAAAGGAGCGGUGCUUUGCUAUAUAUUGCACCCCUCUGGAGCCAGGCCCUGUGCAAACGAGAAUGACCCGCUUGCUUAUAACCGUCUCGUCUAGAGACAAAAGAUAGGGGCUAGGGGUCACCCCUGACCCCUAACCCCUAACUUUUUCUGACAACUUGACCUCAAAUCAGGUAGGACUACCCGCUGAACUUAAGCAUAUCAAUAAGCGGAGGAAAAGAAACUAACAAGGAUUCCCCUAGUAACUGCGAGUGAACCGGGAAGAGCUCAAAUUUAAAAUCUGGCGGUCCUCUAGCGGCCGUCCGAGUUGUAACCUAGAGAAGCGUCUAUCCGCGCUGGACCGUGUACAAGUCUCUUGGAAAAGAGCAUCAUAGAGGGUGACAAUCCCGUCUUUGACACGGAUCCCCAGGGCUUAUGUGAUCCGCUCUCGAUGAGUCGAGUUGUUUGGGAAUGCAGCUCAAAAUGGGUGGUAAAUUCCAUCUAAAGCUAAAUACAGGGGAGAGACCGAUAGCGAACAAGUACCGUGAGGGAAAGAUGAAAAGAACUUUGAAAAGAGAGUUAAACAGUACGUGAAAUUGUUGAAAGGGAAACGCUUCAAGUCAGUCACAUUGGUUGGGGAUCAACUUGCCUAUCAGGCAGGAGCACUUCCCGCCCAAUGGGUCAGCAUCAAUUUUGACCAUUGGAUAAAGGUCAAGGGGAAUGUGGCAUCCUUCACCGGAUGUGUUUAUAGCCUCUUGGUUGCAUACAACGGUUGGGAUUGAGGAACUCAGCACGCCUUCAAUGGCCGGGGGCUUUAUGCCCUACGUCUACGUGCUUAGGAUGCUGGCAUAAUGGCUUCAAUCGACCCGUCUUGA
RNAcentral lists this ribosomal RNA (918 nucleotides) under Lichenomphalia alpina. RNAcentral describes it as "eukaryotic LSU rRNA". The stretch from base 224 to 918 matches the Rfam family "Eukaryotic large subunit ribosomal RNA", at positions 1 to 657 of the family's 3401-position model. Lineage: Eukaryota; Fungi; Basidiomycota; Agaricomycetes; Agaricales; Hygrophoraceae. The record is from RNAcentral.